This is an RNA transcript of Labeo rohita (rohu), 3349 nucleotides long. It is a transcript of the gene named contactin-3-like, with no coding region annotated. The transcript is spliced from 8 exons. Lineage: Eukaryota; Metazoa; Chordata; Actinopteri; Cypriniformes; Cyprinidae. The record is from RefSeq and is a predicted model, not a curated record.
UUAUGAUGGAGGGAGAUUCAGUGACUCUAAACACUAACACUGAAACAAACCAGACUGAAGAGAUUAGAUGGUAUUUUAAUAAAAAUAUCAUCGCUGAAAUCAGUAAUCUCAGUAAGAUCUGUACAGAUGUUCAGUGUAAAGAUGGUGAUGAGAGAUUCAGAGACAGACUGAAGCUGGAUCAUCAGACUGGAUCUCUGACCAUCACAAACAUCAGAAACACAGACUCUGGACUCUAUUCACUAAGGAUCAGCCGCGGCUUAUUUCAGAUAUUCAGUGUUGCUGUUCAUGAAGUCCCUGCUGCUGAACGAGAUCAAUUGAAGACAAAGUCAGUGAAGGAGGGAGAAUAUUUUGUUUUAAAUGCUGAUCCUGUGUUAAAAAACCCAAAUGAUCUGGUGACGUGGUAUUUUAAUGACAUUCCUAUAGCUGAAAUCACUGAGGAUCAUAGUAGGAUUUGCACAGAUGUUCAGUGUAAAAAUGGUGAUGAGAGAUUCAGAGACAGACUGAAGCUGGAUCAUCAGACUGGAUCUCUGACCAUCACAAACACCAGAAUCACAGACUCUGGAGUUUAUAAACUAAAGAUCAGCAGCAGGAGUAUCAGCAUCAGCAUCAGAUUCAGCAUCAUUAGGAGCUUCAGUGUCACUGUCAUUGGUGGAGGGUCAGUGUCUGUGAUGGAAGGAGAUUCAGUCACUCUACAGACUGGCAUUAAAACAAAACAACAAGAAAGGAUUGAGUGGUAUUUUAAUGGCUUUCAAAUAGCUAAAAUCACUGGAGAUCUUCGUUUUAUCUGUACAGAUGUUCAGUGUAAAGAUGCUGAUGAGAGAUUCAGAGACAGACUGAAGCUGGAUCAUCAGACUGGAUCUCUGACCAUCACAAACAUCAGAACCACAGACUCUGGACUUUAUAAACUACAGAUCAACAGCAGAAGAGACAAAAUCAGGACAAAGAUUUUCAUUGUUGCUGUAUCUGGUUUUCUCAGUGUCGGUGGAGAUGGAUUAUCAGCAUUUGUGAUGGAGGAAGAUUCAGUCACUCUACACUCUGAUAUUAAAACAAACCAACAGAAAUUUAUUAAAUGGUUUAUGAAUGGCAUUCGCAUUGCUGCAAUCACUGGAGAUCUUAGUUAUAUCUGUACAGAUGUUCAGUGUAAUGAAGGUACUGAGAGUUUCAGAAACAGACUGAAGCUGGAUCAUAAAACUGGAUCUCUGACCAUCACAAACAUCACAAACACAGACUCUGGAUUUUAUCAACUAGAGAUCAUCAGUGACACCAGUAAAAAUACAUUUGGUGUUGAAGUCCAUAAUUUUUCUGCUGCAAAACGAGAUGAAAUAAAGCGAAAGUCAGUGAAAGAGGGAGAAUCUGUCACUUUGGACACUUAUUUAAUAAAAACCCCACAUCAUUCAUUGUCAUGGUAUUUUAAUGACACUUGUAUAGCUGAAAUCAGUGGAAAUCAGAGCAAGAUCUGUACAGAUGUUCAAUGUGAAGAUGGUAAUGAGAGAUUCAGAAACAGACUGAAGGUGGAUCAUUCUUCUGGAUCUCUGACCAUCACAAACAGCAGAAUCACAGACUCUGGAGAUUAUCAACUAAAUAUCACCAGCAGGAGGAUCAGCAUCAUUAGACGCUUCAGUGUUUCUGUCAUUGCUGAUCUAACAGGAAUAUAUGCUGCUGUUUUACUGUUCUGCUGCUGGUGAUCGCAUCUGCUGGUUUAAUUUACUCUUGCAAGUGCCAUUCAAGAAGGAAACACAUCAGGACCCAGCGCAAUGAUCAGGUGAAUGAUGUUGAAGACUUCUCCCCUGAUCAGACUGACUCUAUUUUGAUGACUCCUGCCAGUCAGACAUCCCAGACUGAGACUGAUGCUGUUAAUGAGGCACCAACGUAACAUUAUUCAUUAUUAUGAUACUUUCAAAAAAAAGGCAGUGAAGAGAAGAUUGGAAAUGAGAGAAGAGCAUCAGCUGAAAAUGACAACACACACACACAUAUAUAUUUAUUCUGUAUACUUUCCUCACACAAAAGAGAGACAAAGAUUGUGACACCGUUGUGUCCUUGAUUAAGACUCUAAAAACUAAUAACUGCACUGAAAAACACUCAAGCAACAGCAAAAUACUGAAUAUGUAUUUUUGUAAUAUAUUAUGUAUUAUGCUCCAUAACUGCUAGUUAUGCACAAGCACAUUUCAUAAAAUAAUAUAUGCAUUUUCUAUUAUAAUCUUCAGAUUUUUGCUACUUAUUCUGAAAGUCUUUAUUAUUGAAAUUGUACUUUUGUUGUUAAUUGUGAUUCUUUAUGUAUGUAUGCACGUAUGUACCAGGAGCACCUUCCAUUGACACCCUUUGCAUUGACAUAGAGAGUAAGUCACAGAAGGUCAUUACUAAAAGGGGGGGCUGUUUACAGAGUGCUGUAUGAAAGCAUAUUAAAUGCAAAGUUGACUGGAAGGAAGAAACUGGGUAGGAAAAGGUGCACAUGCAACAGGGAUGACCGCAAGUUUGAGAAUACUGUCAAGCAAACCCGAUUCAAACACUUGGGAGAGCUUCACAAGGAGUGGACUGAAGCCGGAGUAGCGCAUCAAGAGUCAUCACGCUCAGACGUCUUCAGGAAAAGGACUACCAAGCCACUUCUAAAACAGAAACGUCAAAAGCAUCUUACCUGGGCUAAGGAGAAAAUGAGCUUGACUUUUUCUCAGUGAUCCAAAGCGUCUUUUCAGAUAAAAGUAAAUUUUGCAUUUCGUGUUGAAAUCAUGAUCCCAGAGUCUGGAGGAAGACUGGAGAGGGACAGAAUACAAGCUGCUUGAAGUCCAGUGUGAAGUUUCUAAAUUCAGUGAUGAUUUGGGGUGCUGUGACGUCUGCUGGUGUUGGUCUAUUGUGUUGUAUCAAGUCCAAAGUCAAUGCUGCAGUCUACCAGCAGAUUUUGGAGCACUUUAUGCUUCCAUCUGCUGACAAGCUUUAUGGAGAUGCUGAUUUCCUUUUCCAGCAGGACUUUAGCACCUGCCCACAGUGCAAAAAACACUUCCAAGUGGUUUUCUGACCAUGACAUUACUGUGCUUGAUUGACCAGCCAACAUGCCUGACCUGAACCCCAUUGAGAAUCUAUGGGAUAUUUUCAAGAAUAAGAUGAGAAACAGUUGAUCCAACAAUAUACAGAUGAGCUGAAGGUUCAAUAGUGCCUCAGCAGUGCCACAGGCUGAUCGCUUCCAUGCCACUCCUUACUCAUGCUGUCAUUUGUGCUAGGAGCAAGUCAUUUGUGCUGCAGACAAGUGCAUAAAUGAACAUACUUUAAAGAACUUGAACUUUUCUGUUUUGCAAAUCUGUUUUUUGAUUGUUCUUAGGAAAUAUUCUAAUAUUUGAGAUACUGGGUUUUGAUUGAU